Molecule: ribosomal RNA, 447 nt
Filed under: uncultured bacterium
Lineage: Bacteria
Description: bacterial SSU rRNA
Rfam family: Bacterial small subunit ribosomal RNA
Source: RNAcentral
UACCAGACUCCUACGGGAGGCAGCAGUGGGGAAUAUUGCACAAUGGGGGAAACCCUGAUGCAGCGACGCCGCGUGAGCGAUGAAGUAUUUCGGUAUGUAAAGCUCUAUCAGCAGGGAAGAAGAUGACGGUACCUGACUAAGAAGCCCCGGCUAACUACGUGCCAGCAGCCGCGGUAAUACGUAGGGGACAAGCGUUAUCCGGAUUUACUGGGUGUAAAGGGAGCGUAGACGGCGAUGCAAGCCAGAUGUGAAAGCCCGGGGCUCAACCCCGGGACUGCAUUUGGAACUGUGUGGCUGGAGUGUCGGAGAGGCAGGCGGAAUUCCUAGUGUAGCGGUGAAAUGCGUAGAUAUUAGGAGGAACACCAGUGGCGAAGGCGGCCUGCUGGACGAUGACUGACGUUGAGGCUCGAAAGCGUGGGGAGCAAACAGGAUUAGAUACCCCCGUAC